UCAAGUAAUGAAGUGCACAUGGUGGAUGCCUUGGCAGUCAGAGGCGAUGAAAGACGUGACAGCCUGCGAAAAGCGUCGGGGAGGCGGCAAUAUCCUGUGAUCCGGCGAUAUCUGAAUGGGGAAACCCACCUACCAUAAGGUAGGUACCCCGCUAUAUUUUAUAGCGGGGGGCAAACCGGGAGAAGUGAAACAUCUCAGUAACCCGAGGAAAAGACAUCAAUAGAGAUUCCCCUAGUAGCGGCGAGCGAACGGGGAGGAGCCGACUGAUUAUAAUUUAGAGGAAUGACUUGGAAAGGUCAAUCGUAGAGGGUGAUAAUCCCGUACUCGAAAGGUUAUAAGAAGCAUAUUAAGUAGGGCGGAACACGAGAAAUUCUGUCUGAACAUGGGGGGACCAUCCUCCAAGGCUAAAUACUCCUGACCGACCGAUAGUGAACCAGUACCGUGAGGGAAAGGCGAAAAGAACCCCUGUGAGGGGAGUGAAAUAGAACCUGAAACCGUGUGCAUACAAGCAGUCGGAGCCCC
RNAcentral lists this ribosomal RNA (522 nucleotides) under uncultured eukaryote. RNAcentral's name for it is "partial Bacterial large subunit ribosomal RNA". It matches the Rfam family "Bacterial large subunit ribosomal RNA", at positions 3 to 583 of the family's 2925-position model. The record is from RNAcentral.